This 748-nucleotide ribosomal RNA is filed under the name uncultured bacterium. Its description in RNAcentral is "bacterial SSU rRNA". It matches the Rfam family "Bacterial small subunit ribosomal RNA", at positions 56 to 817 of the family's 1533-position model. The record is from RNAcentral.
UGCAAGUCGAACGAGAUCUUCGGAUCUAGUGGCGCACGGGUGCGUAACGCGUAUGCAACUUACCUCUUACUGGGGAAUAACUUCGCGAAAGUGGAGCUAAUACCGCAUAAAAGACAGUGAGGCAUCUCACAAUCUUAAAAGGUUACGGUAGGAGAUGGGCAUGCGUCCCAUUAGCUAGUUGGUAAGGUAACGGCUUACCAAGGCGACGAUGGGUAGGGGAACUGAGAGGUCGAUCCCCCACACUGGUACUGAGAUACGGACCAGACUCCUACGGGAGGCAGCAGUAAGGAAUAUUGGUCAAUGGACGAGAGUCUGAACCAGCCAUGCCGCGUGCAGGAAGAAGGCGUUCUGCGUCGUAAACUGCUUUUAUAUAGGAAGAAAAAGCUCUUGCGAGAGCGAUUGACGGUACUAUAUGAAUAAGCACCGGCUAACUACGUGCCAGCAGCCGCGGUAAUACGUAGGGUGCAAGCGUUGUCCGGAUUUAUUGGGUUUAAAGGGGGCGUAGGCGGAAGCUUAAGUCUUGGGUGAAAUCCCACCGCUCAACGGUGGAACUGCCUGAGAAACUGGGUUUCUUGAGUAUAGUUGAGGUAGCUGGAAUUGGUGGUGUAGCGGUGAAAUGCAUAGAUACCACCAGGAACCCCUAUUGCGAAGGCAAGUUACUAAGCUAUAACUGACGCUGAGGCACGAAAGCGUGGGGAGCGAACAGGAUUAGAUACCCUGGUAGUCCACGCCGUAAACGAUGAUGACU